AGAAAGGUCUUCCUUUGCCGUUGGUUCACCCUCCAAUGGCCGCCGCUGCAGCCGGCGCACCGCGCUGAUCCUGGCAGGAGCCAGGAGCCAGGUGCUUUUCCUGGUCUCCCAUGGGGUGCAGGGCCCAAGCACCUGGGCCAUCCUCCACUGCACUCCCUGGCCAUAGCAGAGAGCUGGCCUGGAAGAGCGGCAACCGGGACAGAAUCCGGCGCCCCAACCGGGACUAGAACCCGGUGUGCCGGCGCCGCAAGGUGGAGGAUUAGCCUAUUGAGCCACGGCGCCGGCUAUCGCAGUGCUUUUGAACACAGAUUUCCACAAUAUUCUUGAGGGUAAAUUGAGGGCAGUGUUAUCACUACAUAUAGUUUCCUUUGAGAAGCACACGCAUUUUACCUCCAUUACUUGUCACUCUCAUAAAUUGUCGUAUGCUUGGAGACCUCUGGGAAUGAUCUGCUGACUUGUGCUACAAGUAUUUUAAUGUUGUUAAAAGUCCGCCUUUUUUCUUAACCAGCUAACUCGGGUAUUCAUCAAGUAUUAAUGCUGUGCCUAAAAACUGAUAACUCGGCAACGAAUAUGGAUCUUUUAAUAGGAUUGGAUGUUGAUGCACUGCGCAGUUCAGCCGGUAGAGAACCGCCUGUAAAAUGCUAGGAAAAACAGAACAGAAUUUAAAUUUCUAUUCAUAGUAAGACUGCAUUCUGUCUACACUCACUCGGAUGGACAAAUUAAUACUCUAUUAUUACCAGUGAGUCUUGCCAAGCCUGCACUUCCACAGUCCUCAUACAUGUUGAUUUUGGUGCAUCUUGGUGUUAAAAAAUCCAUUUAUAAAAAAUUUUAUAAUUAAUUUUUUUUAGAUUCAAACGUUUUCACAAAACUUCCAUAAAGACGUUCGCGGGACAACUCGGGAGCUGUGCCUGUGGACUUGCUGUUAGCUGCUUUUGCAGAAUCACCGUCCAGCUCACCAGCGGUGACCUGGUAUUACCAUGUAGUAGUUUGUUCUUACGCUGGGGCUUUACUGCAAACACACACACAUUAACACACACAUUAAACACACACGCGCAAAGAUGGUAGACUAUGAAUAAACAUGGACUGUAGCUGAGGCGUUUCCGCGUGUGGACGGAAUCCCGCACGUGUUAGAUCUGAAAAUUUCCGUAACAGAGCUGACAUUAUCUUAACGAAAAGACGUCGUCCGAGACCACACGCUGCAGUAGCCGCGUCACGAGCCGACACUGCCAGCCACCCAGGGGCGCGGACUCCAGCUCGCCUCCCCCACGCCGGCCAGGGACGCUUUGCCUUUAAGGCUGGUAGGCGGGUGCGGGCACAUACGCUGGCGAGGCAAGUGCUGAUUGGAGGGGCUUGCGGUCAAUCAAGGCCAGAGCGCAGUUACCCCGCCCAGGAGCUCCCUGAGGAAGCAGGAAUUUUAAGGGGGCCCUCCGGUGUUUGUCACGCCCUCUGCCUUUAAGGCCGGCCAUCUGAAAGGGGUGAGGCCCUGUGUAACAGCCGUUCUCUCCUUUCAGUCGUGUCUAUUUUAUUCGUUGACAGCUUUCGUGUUCGGCAUGGAUGGUUCAGGAUUACGGCCAUCUGGUUUGCUUCUUGAGGUUUGCCUGGGGGCGACCUCUGGCUCGCUCUGGCCCGCGGAGAAACGCCUGAGGCGCCCCCUGUCGGCCCGGCGGACGCAGCGCAGCCCCGCCGCCCGCCGGGGCGAGGCUCCCGCCGCGGAGCCUGAUGGGAAACGGCGCCUUGGGAGCUCGCGACGCGCGCUGCGCGGGAACCAGGGAGGCGGUGCUCCCGCGCAUGCGCGGCCUGGUUUUGGCGCGCCAAGCACGGGGCGCGGUCGGCUCCACCGGGUCUGGGGGGCUGCGGGGCGGGGGUCCUGGAGCCCAGCUUUCGGGUGGUCAGCCCCGGCAGCUGCGGCUCGGCGCUUCGGCGCGCCGCCGAGGACGUGAGGCGCCGUCCCGCUCCGAGGACGUGCGCGCCCUGGUGGCGGCCGCGGGGACGGCUCGCCCUGGGCGCUCCGCACAUCCGCCUGCGCCCCGAAAGCCGGUUCUGUGCACGCCCUGGUUGUGUCGUCACGCCCCGCUCCCGUGGCCGUCGGUGCAGACGACAACCUGGGCCCCUGUUUUUACCUCGGGGCUCUGUGGGGUCCCCUCAGAUGGCCCAGUGCCCGUGCGUCCUGGGUUCAAAACACCAACUCUAGGCACAGGGAGUGACCAAGGGGACCUAGCCGGGCUGAGGAGGGAACCAGGAGGCCCACCUGGAGGAGGGAGACCGCCCCAGGGCUUAGCGCAGAGGCGGACAGCAGCCCCUUAGAUGCGCAUGGCUGCUGGAGGCAGCGGGAGGUGACUGACAGGUGUGCCCAGGAGUCUGGAGUAAAGAAACCCCGCCUCUUCGCUUAGGCCCCGCGGGUUCCUUGCUGUUCUCGGAUCUCCAGGAACCGGCCCCGCGGGUGGCUCUGAGAGACGCAGGUGCUUCCUCCAGGCUGAUGGUGUAGAUUCGGAAAGCCGGCGUGCAGGAGAGAGCUCCUGGAUCCCCUAUUGGCCGGAUCUGACGGAUGACCGUCCAGGGCACCCCAGCCACUAGGGGCCCACCCGGGGGCAGCAUUUCCUCAAGAGUUCCAUCAAAGACAGCAGCUGCUGCCAACGCGGCUUUUUAUUUAUUUAUUUUUUUAAUUUGAGAGGUAGGAUUACAGACAGUGAGAGAGGUCCUCCACCAGGCCAUAGCAGAGAGCUGGAUCAGAAGUGGAGCAGCCGGGACUCAAACCGGCGCCCAUGUGGGAUGCCGGCACUGCAGGUGGAGGAUUAACGCACUGUGCCAUGGUGCCAACCCCGCUUCCCAGUUCUCUAGAUGGUGCUUCAAGAGCAUAGGAAAAUGACUGGCUCGCAGAAUGUUCUCACCAGCCAGGCUGUCGCCUGAGUGCACACGUGGUCUUCACCCUCGCUGCUGCCCUGUACCAGCUCCUGCACAUCUGCGCAGUGAUGAAGGCUCCUGUCUUUCAGGUUGUUAAUGCACAAAUCCCAAGUGCUUGGCCUGAUAAAUUGUUCGUGGAUAGCUAUCACCGAGGUCAAGAUAAGGGACAUUUUCUGCAUAUCUCCAAGACUGCUCUUACUCACUCAUACCUGAGGAUUUGUAUGUAUUUGAAAGACAGAGUUCCAGAGAGAGACAGAGACAGAGAAAGUGGUCUUCCAUCUGCUGGUUCACUCUCCAGAUGGCUGCAAUGGCCAGAGCUGCGCCGAUCUGAAACCAGGAGCCAGGAGCUUCUUCCAGGUAUCCCACGUGGGUGCAGGGGCCAAAGGACUCGGGGCAUCUUCUACUGCUAUCCCAGGCCACAGCAGAGAGCUGGAUUGGAAGUGGAGCAGCUGGACUAGAACUGGCGCCCAUAUGGGAUGCCAGGACUUCAGGCCAAGGCUUUAACCUGCUAUGCCACAUCACCGGCCCCACCCCUCGUUUUCUUAUAAAAUCUUGAAUUGUUUUAGUCCAUUUAAAAUUAUUUAACACAUAUACUUACCCACACAUUUUUUAAAAAUGUAUUUAGUUAUUUGAAAAGCAGUGGAAGAUCUUCCAUCCAGUGGUUCACUCCCUCAAUGGCCGCAACAGCUGGGGUUGGGCCAGGCCAGGCUGAAACCAGGAGCCAGGAACUUCUCCUGGACUCCUGCAUGGUGGCCAGGGCCCAGUUACUUUUGCCAUCUUCCUAUGCCUGGAAAUGCAUAUUAGCAAGAAGUUGGAUCAAAAGCAGAGUAGCUGACACUUGAACCAGGCCUCUCCUAGGGGAUGGUGGCGUUGCAAGCAGCGACCACACCAGCUGUGCCACACCAGCUCUUGCAGUUCCAUUUAUUGAAAAGACCUUCUGUUCCCAACAGAAUUGCAGUGCUGUUUUGAUUGAGAAGCAGGUAGCCAUUUAUAUGAGUAUCUCUUUGGAUCCUCAGUUUUAUUGCAGUUUUCCCUUUGGCCUCGUGUUAAUGCCAGUGAGCCUUGGUUCCCCUAGCUUUAUAAAGUGUUCCUGUGUGGGAAUGUAAAUUCCCCACCUUUGUUCUUCAAGAUUGCUGCUCUCAGUCCUUUGUAUUAUGGUGUAAAUUUUGGCAUCAUCUUCCUUCCCCCAACCUCCAAUCUGCUAGAAUUUGAUAUUGAAUUAAAUCUCUGGAUUGAUUUGUUAGAAAAGUCAUAUUAAUACUACCUCUCUGUGGUGUAGCGGGUAAAGCUGCCACCUGCAGUGCCAGCAUCCCAUAUGGGCACCAAUUCGAGUUCUGGCUGCUCUACUUCUGAUCCAGCUCUCUGCUGUGGCCCUGGAGGGCAGUGGAGGAUGGCCCAAGUGCUUGGGUCCUGCACCCACUUGGGAGACCCAGAAGAAGCUCCUCACUCCUGGCUUCGGAUUGGUGCAGCUCUGGCUGUUGCAGCCAUCUGGGGAGUGAGUGAACCAGUGGAUGGAAGACCUCUCUGCCUCUCUGUAACUCUUGCCUUUCAAACAAAUGAAUAAAUCUUAAAAAAAAAAAAAAAUCUACCUCUCUGAACUUAUAAACAUGGUAUUUUUCUUAAUUAACUUACAUCUUUAAUUUUUUUCAGGCAUGUUUCAUGAUUUUCUGUCUGGGUCUUUUGUACUUACUUCGAUAGUUUUUUUCCCUAGAUAUUUGGAAAUUUUUCAUCCUAUUUGGAUGCUGCUGGUAUAUAGACAUAGAGUUGGAUUUUGUAUAUUGAACUUGUAUCCAGUGACCUUGCUGUUUAUUAAUUUUAAUACUGUAUAUGUGAAUUAAUUUAGAUUUUUUUACCUAUACAACAGUAUUAUAUGGAAUUUGUUUCCUAUUUAAAUUUCUUUAAGAUUUAUUUUAUUUAUUUGAAAGACAGAGUUACAUAUAGAGGUAGAGACAGAGAGAGGUCUUCCAUCCACUGGUUCACUCCCUAGAUGGCCGCAACGGCCGGAGCUGCGCCGAUCCGAAGCCAGGAUCCAGGAGCUUCUUCCGAGUCUCCCACGUGGGUGCAGGGGGCCAAAGACUUGGGUCGUCUUCUGCUUUCCCAGGCCAUAGCAGAAAGCUGGAUUGGAAGAGGAGUAGCUGGGAUUCGAACUGGCGCCCGUAUGGGAUGCUGGCACUACAGGCCAGGGCUUUAACCCACUGCGCCAUUGUGUCAGCUCCUCCUAUUUAAAUCUUUUUUUUUUUUGACAGGCAGAGUGGACAGUGAGAGAGACAGAGAGAAAGGUCUUCCUUUUGCCGUUGGUUCACCCUCCAAUGGCUGCAACGGCCGCGCACCGCGCUGAUCCAAAGGCAGGAGCCAGGUGCAUAUCCUGGUCUCCCAUGGGGUGCAGGGCCCAAGUACUUGGGCCAUCCUCCACUGCACUCCCUGGCCACAGCAGAGAGCUGGCCUAGAAGAGGAGCAACUGGGACAGAAUCCGGUGCCCCGACCGGGACUAGAACCCGGUGUGCCGGCGUCGCAGGUGGAGGAUUAGCCUAGUGAGCCGUGGCGCCGGCCCUAUUUAAAUCUUUUAAGAAAAGAUUUAGUUUUUUGAAAGACAGAGAAACAGAGUUUAUUCAUCUGCUAGUUUAUUCCCAGAUGCCUGCAAUAGUCAGGAGUUGGCUAAGCAGAAGCCGGGAGUCCGGAUGCAACUCAACCUGAGGGUCCACAUGCAUGGCAGGAACUCUGGUACCUGAGCAGCCAGCCUUUGCCCUGCCAGAGUGCACGUUAGCAGAGGAAAGUGGAGGGGCCGGGACUCGAACCUGGCACUCCAACAGGAAAUAUGGGCACCCCAAACAACAUAUUAUUAUGUUUUUUUUUAAACUUUUAUUUACUUAUUUGAAAGGCGGGUAACAAAGACAGAGAAGGAGAUAGUGCUGCCCAAAUGGCUGUAGCAGUCAGGAGCCAGGAACUCCAUCUAGAUCUCCCACAUGGGUGGCAGGGCCCCAAACACCUGGGCCAUUUUCUGCCACCUUCCCAGGUAAAUUAGCAGGGACCUGGAUUGGAAGUGGAGCAGCCGGGGCUUGAACUGGCACCUGUUUGGUAUGUUG
Oryctolagus cuniculus (rabbit) is the source of this 5984-nucleotide non-coding RNA. NCBI's taxonomy places the organism in Eukaryota, Metazoa, Chordata, Mammalia, Lagomorpha, Leporidae. The record is from RefSeq and is a predicted model, not a curated record.